This 403-nucleotide ribosomal RNA is filed under the name uncultured prokaryote. RNAcentral describes it as "bacterial SSU rRNA". It matches the Rfam family "Bacterial small subunit ribosomal RNA", at positions 355 to 774 of the family's 1533-position model. The record is from RNAcentral.
UGAGGAAUAUUGGGCAAUGGGCGGAAGCCUGACCCAGCAACGCCGCGUGAAGGAAGACGGCCUUCGGGUUGUAAACUUCUUUUUUGGGGGAAGAGAGAGGACGGUACCCCAAGAAUAAGUCACGGCUAACUACGUGCCAGCAGCCGCGGUAAUACGUAGGUGACAAGCGUUAUCCGGAAUUACUGGGCGUAAAGCGCACGCAGGCGGUGCGUUAAGUCUGACUGGAAAUUUCCCGGCUGAACUGGGAGGGGUCGGUGGAGACUGGCGUGCUUGAGGCGAGGAGAGGGGUGUAGAAUUCCCGGUGUAGUGGUGGAAUGCGUAGAUAUCGGGAGGAAUACCAGUGGCGGAAGCGACACCCUGGCAUUAGCCUGACGCUCAGGUGCGAAGGCGUGGGGAGCGAACG